CCCCUGAUCCCACCAUCCCCCUCCCCCCCAUGAAGCUGCCAACCCUUUUGAUCCACUCACCUCUUUCCCCACCCUGAUUCACCAGUCCCAGGAGCCCAACUGAAGUAAAUGCCAGUAAAAUGGGGUCUGGGAGUGGUUUCCAGAAUUAGGACUGGUUCUGUGGGGGAGGCGGGGGUGUUUGGCAGAAUCAGAGAGCCUCUCUCAUCCUGCCAACCCCCACUGAACCUCUGCCCCUGCAGACCCAACUAGCCCUCCCCAAUCCUGCCAAACCCUCCCGGCCCCUGCCACGCACCCUGCAGACCCUGCUAGUCCUCCCACCCCCCUCCUCUGAUGUUCCUGGGAUCAUUUUAACCUGAUCUAACCCCUCAAACUUCUAGUUGAAAUGUCUAUAUAAGCCAAAGUCUGUUUAUCUUUGGGAAAUAUUGAAAACUUCCUUUUGAGAGAGCCUUUCCCCCAGAAGUGCUACUCCUAGUGCAAACAUCCAUAUUUCCUUUAUUUCCCAGCCCUCCACCAGUCCUGACCACCCCCUCCCCAGAAAAAGACCACUCAGCAGAAGACCUAGCACAGGCACAAUUUUGACACUGAGAACAGAGAAAGGCUGUAAGUUUUGUGAAGCUUGUAAUAGAGUUUGCUAUUGCUGGCAAUUUAGAUGGAAAGUCCUCAGAGACUUCAGUAAUAAGCAGCAGCUUGAAACACUAACCUAGAAUAUUCACAUAACACAAUCAUCUGAUAUAUCCAAACAACAUACAAAAUGAAAGAAAGGUGAAGUUGUUGUGCAAUAGAAGAUGAAUAACUAAGUAUUACAAUAUUAGAGUGUACUUUGGAUAGGGUGUAUUCACAGCAUGUGAAGCAAGCAGGAGUAUAAUUACUGCUGCUUUGCACUGUAUGUGUAAGUCUUUUCAUUCAAAUAUUGCAAAGCACUUUCCUAAAGGGGCUAUGCAUUUUAGACCUCCCUUUGCAGUUGAGAAAAAUGGAAGCAGAGAGAGAUGGAUAUACCCAAGAUGUGAUCAUCUGCUAGUGGUAGAACCCAGAUCUCCUACCUGGUUUCUGCUGUCCACUAACACGUAACACUUCAUAAAGAAGAAGGUCCAGAACUGUUGUUAUACAUUGGCGAUCUGUUGUUAUACAUUGGCAAUUACAACCUUGUGAGAUGAGAUGAGUUAAUAGAAGAAUAUUAAUAUAAUUGAUACAAUUUAUAUCACAGUCCUAGAAAAGAAAGAAAAGGUGCCAUGGUAGCAAUAUAACAUGUUUCCAAAACCCUUAGUGCCAAUGGAAAAAAAAGAGUGGACAGUUAAAUGUUUAGCAGUAACUUUGUAUCUUACUUUGUGUAAUGUAAGAAAUUAAAACUAAAGAGCCGAACCCAGUAGGUGUCUGUUAGUGCCUCACGCCACUGACAUAGAUCAUCCCCGUAGUCUAUCUUCCCUCCCUUUCUGUCUUAUCUUUCAUAUUCUUUCCCUUUGUGCACAAUUUUCCUUUUAUUCUAUUAUACCACAUAUGGGACAAGAAGAGAGGGAAGGGGGAGGAAGAAGGAACCAUUCUGCGUUCCACGAGAGUGUUAAUUUAACACCUGAUGGGUAAUUCACAAUUUCACAUGUAGCAGGCUUACCUUUCAGAGCUUGGGUUGAAUCCCAGGCUUGAGAUCCUGCUGUUUUGAUUGGUGGAGCCCAUCCACCAAUCAGGAGGCAGCAAGAGAAAUAACAUCACGCCCCUUUUCUGAGGGGAGGGGGAAAAGAGCUCUCCCAGACCUGAUUGAAGACUGGAAACUGUCAGGUCCAGAAGACUUCAGGGGUGGAGCCCUGGAGCAUAUAAAAGGAGCUGCAUGCCCAGCACAAGGACAGAUGCCUCGGGGACUGAGAAGAGAGAAGAGUGGGGUUUAGAAGAGCUGAGGAGAGCUGCUCAGCAGGGCAAAGCAGUAGCCCAGGAAGAGCCCCUGAAGUCUUCUAUGUGCGGGGAGCGGGGGACGGCUCCAGCGGUUAGAUUCUCGGUGCACAGUAUGACGCAUAGCGUCUAGACCCUGGGAGCUGCGUGAGGCGGCUCGGGUCUGGAACCUCUGGUGUACAGACAGAGACACAGUGCACAGGCUGGUGCAAGGAGCAGGAUCUUUGGAGCCCCUGGGGUGGCUCAGGUCCUCAACCCCCAGAACGAGGUUGGGAGCUCGGUGCAGGAGGUGCUGCAUGGAGGCAUAUAUGGGACAAGAAGAAAGAACAGAAUUAAAAAAGGACCAGUUUCCUCAACCUAACUGCUGAAUGACAAAGGAAACUAGCCCAACUGCUCACCCUUUAGGCUGCAUGGCCUUGCACAAGGGGACUUUGGGCUGAAUCAAAUGACUUCUUCUCAUGCUACUGGAAAAAAAUGUGUGUGUGUGGGGGGACUCAGUUGGCUUUCGCUUCAUUAAUGAGCUCAUGUUGUUUUAACCUAAGGCUUUCAGGAAGGGCACAUAUGUUCAAUCCAAUAAAAGUGCUAUGGCUGGUUGUGUCAUAAGAACCAAAGUUGACACUGAAACUUCAGAUUUAACUCCUGGUGCUCUUAAAAAGUUGGCCUAGCAGUUUUAGUCAAGAACUAGAGCCUGGGCUUGAACCAUCAAGGAUUUGAUGUUCUUGGCAUAUGACCCGAGUUCAGUAUAAUUUAUAGGGACAGAGUCAAGGUUAAAAAAAACCUAAAAAAACCCAAACCAAAAUGCAUCUCUGACUGUUCUGACAAGGAUGUUUCUUCAUGCCAGUAGUCCUGGUGGGCUUUGUUACAUUAUGCUUAUCCACUAAGGGCAAGUAUGUCUUGCUUAAUCCUAUUUCUGGGAGCAAUUCUUACCUUCAUUGCCAGUGUCAGAACUUGAUGAGUUCCAAGAUCUCUACUUGACAAGAGAAGUGCAUGCUGCUGUGUUUUAUUGGUCUCACUGCCAGGCCUCACUAAACAGACCUAGAGAAGUCCUGAUGUUGUACCAAACCCCACAACCCCAGAAACUGGCACAGGAAGCCAAACAGGGAAGAACCCACUUUUAUAUAGAAAAUGCUAGGGGUUAGGGUCAUAAGCCAAUGGACUAAGUAGAAAGGAACAGGUGCAGGUAAAUAAACAUUAAUAUGAAGGUGCACACACUUAGGAGUGAGGCAAAAGGUAACAAGCAGUAACACUCUGGUGAAUCCACUCAAGAACAGGUAGCAGGUAGUGAGCACUACCACCGUGGGACAUUCACUCAAAAAACCUUAACCCCUUUCACACCUCCAGCAGUGCUUUAAACCAGGCUCUAGUCUCAAGAGCACUCAAUAGCCAUCUGCACAUGCUUCCACAUCCAAGUCCUGCUGCUAUAGUCUGUACUCCCAGCUCCAUCACUCCUCUGGGAUCUCUGGCCAUGUGUUUACCACUUCCGCAGCAUCCUGUGCUCUGCCGCUGCUUCCUGCUUCUUCUCCCUUUUAUUUCCCUGCCCCAGUGUCUGGGAGUUGUAGUCUAUGUGUACUCAGCACAGUUUUGCAAGAUUGUUCCCUUCGGAGACUCCUGGGAGCUGUAGUCCAAAUCCAGUCAACAGGCGGCUCCCCCGGCUCCUGUAUGUUUACAUUACAGUGCAUUACAUUCAGUUCAAGCAGUAUAUUACAAUGUGUAGCAGGCUUACCUUCUCAGAGCUUGGGUUGAAUCCCAGGAUCAAGGGUCUGCCGUUUGAUUGGUGGAGCCUGCCCACCAAUCCAGAGGCAGCACAAGGGAAGCAAUGCCCCACCCUUUUCUGAAGGGAGGGGGCAAGGAGCAGCUGGACCUGAAUCGGAACUGCACCAGCCAGGUCCGGAGAACUUCAGGGGUGGAGCCCCUGAAGAGUAUAAAAGGGGAGCGUGCAAACCCAGCAGGUGGCAGGGCAGUCGGUGUGCAGAUCAGCACACAGAGAGCUGGCCCUGGGAGCAGCUCACGGCUGCUCAGGCCUCACCUGGUGCUGAGGUCGGGACAUGGCAAACCGCCUUGGAAACAGCUCCUGGCUGCUCACGUUAGCUUCGGGCCUAGGCCGAGUGACUGGAGCCCCGCAGUGUGGCUCCGCUUUUAACUGAAAGAGCCCUGGUGCCCAGAGCAGGACCUGGGAAAGGGGAGAACCCCCAGUUUUAGACUGGGGAGUCAGAGCCUGCAAGAGCUUGGCUCCUGUGAGAGAGAGAGUCCUGGGUGCCCAGUGCAGGGCCCCGGCCAUCGAGAAGAGCUGAAGAUGCCACUGGGGAGAGGCUCUUGCGGGAUCGGCUACCAGGGGACGAGCCUUGCCUUGUCCAGAGAGGAAGUAUGAAUUACUGGGGAAGUGGGCCCUGCAGGGGAGGCUGACACAGGUGAGGAGGGUCUGCUGCCUCCACCCUCCAUUGUGGGAGGGAUGUGUCCACAUCCCAGGGCCCGAGCUGCUGAAUGCACUGCCUAUUUUGAGGUUGUGUUAAGGGCUAUAUAGUAGGGGUAUUUUUUAAGGGGGUUUAUAUGGUUUAUGUGUUUUAAUGUCUCAAUGUGUAUAUUGGUAUUGUUAUUUGUGAAGGUUUAAGGAAAUAUUAUGGUUAAGUUACUAUCCCUAUGUUAAUUGUGUUGUAUAGGUUGUAAGUUAUUUGGUUCAUAUUUGGUACUAUAUGUGAAUUGUGGAAUAUUAUAUAUAGUAUUAUAUGUUAAGCCUUGUAAAUAUUCUAUAUAUUAUAUUAAGUGUCUGUAUUUAUUCUUGUAAUAAAUUGUACAUAGUUAAGUA
Long non-coding RNA from Alligator mississippiensis (American alligator), 4681 nucleotides. RefSeq lists it as uncharacterized. NCBI's taxonomy places the organism in Eukaryota, Metazoa, Chordata, Crocodylia, Alligatoridae. The transcript has 2 exons. The record is from RefSeq and is a predicted model, not a curated record.